AAUCCUACAACUCCAGAAUCCAUCCCCAUUCUCCAAAUGUUUCUUAUUCCUUCUUUUACCAGAUAUAUCUCCGUAACCUUGGCAUUGACCAAUCCCCUGGGACCAUUUUGGCUCCUUUUCUCCCUCGAGGACCCAUCAGGGAAGUUGAGUUUUCCCCCUCAGAGCUCAGGACACUGAAGGGCUCCGUGGACACCCUGGCCAGGAUCCCUCCAAAGGCACAAGGUAAAUUGUUGCCAGCAUUUGAGGUGGUGCCAACGGGUUUUGACUCCGACACUUCCGCUCUCAGCAUUUCCAUUCCCAUGGAGUCGGAGGUUGGCUCUGAUGUUCUGUCACCCCAGGAGCUCUCUCCCAGCUUCCCAAAAUUUUUUGGAGACAACCCAGCGAGCCAGUGCAGUGUGUCAUGCCACCAGCUGGAGGUGGAUGCUCCGAUUUCCACACAAGAUCCAGAGUGUCCUGCUGUCUCCAGACUUGUUGGAGCGAAGCGGGAUCCACCCGACUGCUCUUCUGACACGGGGAGUCCCCUCCUUGUUCCGACCAGCGCUCAGGAUCUUGCUAAAAACGAGUCCAAAAUUUUGGACAGCAGCCUGCAGAGAUGGGCUGCUGGUGUUUUGGCUGGAGCUCAAGAUGGAGUGGAAGCUGACAGAGGAUCCCAGACCUCCAGUGUGGGAAGUGAGAGAAAUAAGGAGCAAGGAGGUGAUUCUUUGCUGGGGUUGGGUGUGUUGAAGGACAUCCGGGAGCUCCUGGCAAAGGCAGAGGAUUUGAGUGCCAGGUGGUGUCCUCCUGCCUUUUCCAUGGCCUCUUGUAGAGAAACUGGGGAGUCUUCCCUGGUGCUGCUGAGACAGGAGGAUGAUCCCAAAGAUCCCAGGUGGGCGAAGGACAGAACCCCUCAGUUCCAGAAGAGACCGUCGUGGGAUGAGGCUGCGACCCGGCCAAGUGUGCGAGAAGAAGGCUUGGGAAUAAACCCUUGGAAUUCUGACACGUGUAACUUAAGGUGGGAGAACCCUUUGGACAUCAACUUGCACCGCGGCGAAGGGAUGAAGGAAAUAUCCCAGGAGUUCAGGGCGGGAAAAUCAGUGGGAAGGUCGGAGCCGGAGGGUUGUAGCAGCGUCACCACGGACAGGAACCAACGUACCCUGGUGGGCCUGGCACAGAGCAGUGCCAGCAGUGAGGGCAGCACCGGGGCAGCCUCAGAGCUGGGCAAUCCUCCUUCCUCAGAGCCCCCUGGAAGCAUCACUGAUAUCCCAGGAACCUUCCAGAGCACGUCCCAGUCUGGUGGAGCUGGAAGCAAAGCCGGCGGCGCCCGGGGGAGCGACGAGAGCAGCAGCGGAGAUUCCCUGGCUGCCCGUGUCAGGAACCUCCUGGGGAAUCCUCCCCCCUCAUCAGAGCAUCCCCCUGGCACAGGGGGAUUCCAGAGCAUCCUGAGUGGAGCUGGUGGUGCCAGGAUCAAGGGAGGAGGGCUGGGGGGCAGCGGCAGCAGCAGCAGUGGGGAUUCCCUGGCUGCCCGUGUCCGGACCCUCCUGAGGAGUGGAUCCCCUGGGAUAGAGGCAGCCCGAAUCCUCAGGAAUGCAGAGGAGCAGGAGAGGAAAAUCCGAGCCUGGGUGAAGCUGAGACUGGCCAGCAGAUCCCAGGAAUCUCUGCCAGACUGGGAUGAGGAGACCCAGCAAAGAAUCGAGGAAAUCAAGGCAGAGCUGCUCCUGAGGGCCAAGAAAUCCGUGCAGGCCAAGGUACAAACCAGCUUUUCCACAUGUUCCUGUGGGGUUUUUGAAUUGUUUUUCCCAAAUAG
Molecule: long non-coding RNA, 1783 nt
Organism: Manacus vitellinus (golden-collared manakin)
Lineage: Eukaryota; Metazoa; Chordata; Aves; Passeriformes; Pipridae
Source: Ensembl